RNAcentral lists this ribosomal RNA (301 nucleotides) under uncultured bacterium. RNAcentral describes it as "partial 16S ribosomal RNA". It matches the Rfam family "Bacterial small subunit ribosomal RNA", at positions 509 to 809 of the family's 1533-position model. The record is from RNAcentral.
CAGUAGCCGCGGGAAUACGUAGGUGGCAAGCGUUGUCCGGAAUCAUUGGGCGUAAAGGGCUCGCAGGCGGUUUCUUAAGUCUGAUGUGAAAGCCCCCGGCUCAACCGGGGAGGGUCAUUGGAAACUGGGAAACUUGAGUGCAGAAGAGGAGAGUGGAAUUCCACGUGUAGCGGUGAAAUGCGUAGAGAUGUGGAGGAACACCAGUGGCGAAGGCGACUCUCUGGUCUGUAACUGACGCUGAGGAGCGAAAGCGUGGGGAGCGAACAGGAUUAGAUACCCGUAGUCCCUGUCUCUUAUACAC